This 750-nucleotide ribosomal RNA is filed under the name uncultured bacterium. RNAcentral describes it as "bacterial SSU rRNA". It matches the Rfam family "Bacterial small subunit ribosomal RNA", at positions 28 to 776 of the family's 1533-position model. The record is from RNAcentral.
GAUGAACGCUGGCUGUGUGCCUAAUACAUGCAUGUCAAGCGAAGCACUUUUGUGCUUAGCGGCGAAUGGGUGAGUAACACGUACUUAACCUACCCUCAAGAUUGGGACAACACUUGGAAACGAGUGCUAAUACCAAAUACGUAUUUUUAUCGCAUGAUAGAUAUAUAAAAGGAGCUUCGGCUUCACUAGAGGAUGGGAGUGCGCUACAUUAGUUAGUUGGUAGGGUAAUGGCCUACCAAGACUAUGAUGUAUAGCGGGGCCGAGAGGCUGAUCCGCCACACUGGGACUGAGAUACGGCCCAGACUCCUACGGGAGGCAGCAGUAGGGAAUUUUCCACAAUGAACGAAAGUUUGAUGGAGCGACACAGCGUGCAGGAUGAAGGUCUUCGGAUUGUAAACUGCUGUUAUAAGAGAAGAAAAACCCUGGUAGGUAAUGACCAGGACUUGACGGUACCUUAUCAGAAAGCGACGGCUAACUAUGUGCCAGCAGCCGCGGUAAUACAUAGGUCGCAAGCGUUAUCCGGAAUUAUUGGGCGUAAAGAGUUCGUAGGUGGUUUUGUAAGUCUGAAGUUAAAUACCGGGGCUCAACCCCGGCCCGCUUUGGAUACUGCAAAACUAGAGUAAUAGAGAGGUUAGUGGAACUCCAAGUGAAGCGGUGGAAUGCGUAGAUAUUUGGAAGAACACCAAUGGCGAAGGCAACUAACUGGAUAUUAACUGACACUGAGGAACGAAAGCGUGGGUAGCAAACAGG